GAAAUGCGAUAAGUAAUGUGAAUUGCAGAAUUCAGUGAAUCAUCGAAUCUUUGAACGCACAUUGCGCCCGCCAGCACUCUGGCGGGCAUGCCUGUUCGAGCGUCAUUUCAACCCUCAGAACCCCUUGCGGGAUCUGGCGUUGGGGAUUGGCAUCCAGCCAGCCCCGAAAUCUAGUGGCGGUCCCUCCGCGUAGUAGUUUACACACCUCGCGGGCGGAGAGCGGCGCGGCCCUGCCGUAAAACACCCAUCAUCUCACAAGGUUGACCUCAGAUCAGGUGGGAAUACCCGCUGAACUUAAGC
RNAcentral lists this unclassified non-coding RNA (300 nucleotides) under plant metagenome. RNAcentral describes it as "partial contains 5.8S ribosomal RNA, internal transcribed spacer 2, and large subunit ribosomal RNA". The stretch from base 1 to 105 matches the Rfam family "5.8S ribosomal RNA", at positions 50 to 154 of the family's 154-position model. The record is from RNAcentral.